This 230-nucleotide ribosomal RNA is filed under the name uncultured bacterium. RNAcentral's name for it is "partial 16S ribosomal RNA". It matches the Rfam family "Bacterial small subunit ribosomal RNA", at positions 562 to 790 of the family's 1533-position model. The record is from RNAcentral.
AAAGCGUGCGCAGGCGGUUAUGUAAGACAGAUGUGAAAUCCCCGGGCUCAACCUGGGAACUGCAUUUGUGACUGCAUGGCUAGAGUACGGUAGAGGGGGAUGGAAUUCCGCGUGUAGCAGUGAAAUGCGUAGAUAUGCGGAGGAACACCGAUGGCGAAGGCAAUCCCCUGGACCUGUACUGACGCGUCAUGCACGAAAGCGUGGGGAGCAAACAGGAUUAGAUACCCUUG